Molecule: ribosomal RNA, 497 nt
Filed under: uncultured bacterium
Lineage: Bacteria
Description: partial 16S ribosomal RNA
Rfam family: Bacterial small subunit ribosomal RNA
Source: RNAcentral
GAUGAACGCUGGCGGCGUGCCUAAUACAUGCAAGUCGAGCGAACAGACGAGGAGCUUGCUCCUCUGACGUUAGCGGCGGACGGGUGAGUAACACGUGGAUAACCUACCUAUAAGACUGGGAUAACUUCGGGAAACCGGAGCUAAUACCGGAUAAUAUGUUGAACCGCAUGGUUCAAUAGUGAAAGACGGUUUUGCUGUCACUUAUAGAUGGAUCCGCGCCGCAUUAGCUAGUUGGUAAGGUAACGGCUUACCAAGGCAACGAUGCGUAGCCGACCGGAGAGAGUGAUCGGCCACACUGGAACUGAGACGCGGUCCAGACUCCUACGGGAGGCAGCAGUAGGGAAUCUUCCGCAAUGGGCGAAAGCUUGACGGAGCAACGCCGCGUGAGUGAUGAAGGUCUUCGGAUCGUAAAACUCUGUUAUUAGGGAAGAACAAAUGUGUAAGUAACUAUGCACGUCUUGACGGUACCUAAUCAGAAAGCCACGGCUAACUACGUG